CGGGACUUGACCUUAUAGCCAAUCCACGCAGAGGGCCGAGUCGCCGCGGCCUGUCGGUCGCGUGCGGGGAGGGGGUGUCUUCCGGUCGGGCCGAGCUAGUCGCUGGGCUGGUUGAAGGACAUCGGCUGCGGAGUUUGGGAUUGGGACGAAGAUUGAAGUAAUGGCUGGUGCAGAAAGUGAUGGCCAAUUCCAGUUCACUGGUAUUAAAAAAUAUUU
This is a long non-coding RNA of Mastomys coucha (southern multimammate mouse), 216 nucleotides long. RefSeq lists it as uncharacterized. The transcript has 2 exons. The record is from RefSeq and is a predicted model, not a curated record. NCBI's taxonomy places the organism in Eukaryota, Metazoa, Chordata, Mammalia, Rodentia, Muridae.